GACGAACGCUGGCGGCGUGCUUAACACAUGCAAGUCGAACGGACAGGCGCGGCUUUUGUGGCGCGCUCGUGUGGCGCGCGGGUGAGUGACACGUGAGUAACCUGCCCUUGACUUUGGGGUAACUUCUGGAGACUGGGGCUAUUACACCAUAGAAGCUCCUGCUGCGUAGUGGGGGUUGGUGAGUUACGGCGGUUGGGGAUGGACUCGCGGCUUAUCAGCUUGUUGGUGGGGUAGUGGCUUACCAAGGCUUUGACGGGUAGCCGGCCUGGGAGGGUGACCGGCCACAUUGGGACUGAGAUACGGCGCAGACUCCAACGGGAGGCAGCGGUGGGGAAUAUUGCACAAUGGGCGGAAGCCUGAUGCAGCAACGCCGCGUGCGGGAUGACGGCCUUCGGGUUGUGAACCGCUUUCUCCUUUGACGAGGCGUGAGUGACGGUAACGGGUAAAGAAGCACCGGCUAACUACGUG
This 468-nucleotide ribosomal RNA is filed under the name uncultured bacterium. RNAcentral describes it as "partial 16S ribosomal RNA". It matches the Rfam family "Bacterial small subunit ribosomal RNA", at positions 28 to 507 of the family's 1533-position model. The record is from RNAcentral.